AUUGAACGCUGGCGGCAUGCCUAACACAUGCAAGUCGAACGGUAACAGGUCUGGCUUGCUAGAUGCUGACGAGUGGCGGACGGGUGAGUAAUGCAUAGGAAUCUGCCCAGUAGCGGGGGACAACUCGGGGAAACUCGAGCUAAUACCGCAUACGCCCUACGGGGGAAAGCGGGGGUACCUUCGGGCCUCGCACUAUUGGAUGAGCCUAUGUCUGAUUAGCUAGUUGGUGGGGUAACGGCCUACCAAGGCGACGAUCAGUAGCUGGUCUGAGAGGACGAUCAGCCACACUGGAACUGAGACACGGUCCAGACUCCUACGGGAGGCAGCAGUGGGGAAUAUUGGACAAUGGGGUCAACCCUGAUCCAGCAAUGCCGCGUGUGUGAAGAAGGCCUGCGGGUUGUAAAGCACUUUUCAGUAGAGAAGAAUUUGCUGGGGAUUAAUACUCCUCAGGCUUGACUUAACCUACAGAAGAAGCACCGGCUAACUCCGUGCCAGCAGCCGCGGUAAUACGGAGGGUGCGAGCGUUAAUCGGAAUUACUGGGCGUAAAGCGCACGUAGGCGGUUUAGUAAGUCGGAUGUGAAAUCCCCGGGGCUUAACCUGGGGAAUUGCAUUCGAUACUGCUAGGCUAGAGUAUGGUAGAGGGGUAGUGGAAUUCCGGGUGUAGCGGUGAAAUGCGUAGAUAUCCGGAGGAAC
RNAcentral lists this ribosomal RNA (694 nucleotides) under uncultured bacterium. RNAcentral's name for it is "bacterial SSU rRNA". It matches the Rfam family "Bacterial small subunit ribosomal RNA", at positions 28 to 707 of the family's 1533-position model. The record is from RNAcentral.